GAACAUCACAGCUGGUUGUCUGCUCUGAAGUAUAACACUAAAAUAAUUACUUCACCAUGACUUAAAGACCAACCCACUCGACGGACGUGAGAGCAGACACAUGUUAACCUCUCCCGCCUGACUCACCUUCUGUUGAAAUCCCCCUGCUGUGACAUCACUUCUGAUCAACCAAUCAAGCGCAGAUAGAAUGCUGCCAGCAGAGACUUACCACAGAGGAGGAAGCGUCGUUCUGUGGAAUGAAGGGGUACUUUGGCGUGAGUGCCGCAGUGCUGGGACCACAGGGGAAUGGCCCCCAGGAGGUGGGUCUGUGAAGCCGUUUGGCCAACUGCUGCUUAAAGAUGGAAAUGUGUGACAUAAAAUCCAGCCAAUCGGCAUCCUCAAUGGGAUUCAGCUACGGGCCGAAGUGGUUUAGCCCGUAGCUCGCGUGUCCUCGUCAGGGGGCGAGUGCAAGCAAAAGAACAAACCCACCUCAGUAACAUCUCACCCCCAAGAGCCAUUUGAGAGCCGAACUUUGGCGAAAAAACUCCCGGUAAAAGAGCUGAAGAUCAACCAGAGUUCACAAUGAGACAGCUGACUGGCGGUGAAAGAGAAGCCAUGCAAAGCUUCCGUACUGAAUUAGCUGUG
Molecule: long non-coding RNA, 624 nt
Organism: Gasterosteus aculeatus aculeatus (three-spined stickleback)
Lineage: Eukaryota; Metazoa; Chordata; Actinopteri; Perciformes; Gasterosteidae
Source: Ensembl